CUCUUCUCUGAUUGUAGAGAUCUUCUCAGUGAAGGGAGGUGCAAAGUUUGUGGCGGACAAGGUGGUAGAAGGAGGGGGAGUAAAAGGGCGAAGAUGAGCAUCAAAAGUGUGAAGUAGGUGUUUGGGUUGAUGGGACAAUGUACUUAUGAGGGUCUUAAAGUAAUUUACUUUUGCAGAGGAAAGAGCCAGGCUGUAGGAGCGCAGCAUAAAUUUAUAGUGGAGGAAAUCAGAUGCAAAGUGAGACUUUCUCCAGCAGUGUUCAGUAGUUCUAGAACAUUUUUGGAGGUAACGGAUCAGCUUGGUGUGCCAGAGUUGUAACUGGGGGCGCUUGCUGCGUUUACUUGUAGGAGGUGCCAUGAUAUCGAGUUGAGAGGAGAGAGUUGAGUUGUAGAGUGAGGUUGCAGAGUUAGAGCAAGUUAGAUUUGGGAUGGGUAAAAGGAGAG
Non-coding RNA from Pelobates cultripes (western spadefoot toad), 443 nucleotides. NCBI's taxonomy places the organism in Eukaryota, Metazoa, Chordata, Amphibia, Anura, Pelobatidae. The record is from the annotation of a GenBank genome assembly.